RNAcentral lists this long non-coding RNA (1002 nucleotides) under Mytilus galloprovincialis (Mediterranean mussel). Lineage: Eukaryota; Metazoa; Mollusca; Bivalvia; Mytilida; Mytilidae. The record is from RNAcentral.
UGCAAAAAUACAAGUUAUAACAUGUACAAAAGUACAUCAUACAUGUUAUAACCUGUACAAAAUAUUGCUUAAAAUGGUUUUUAACUUGUACAAAAUUUAAAAUCAAUCUUAAUGAAGUAAAAUAUACAUUUAAAUUCACCAAUGCAUAAAGAACAACAAUAAAUAGGCCAGAAAGUGUCUUUUUCUAUAGAGGACAAUGAUCACAAAAUUUCAGAAAUAUAUGGUUCAUGACUUAUGUUGGCAAAAUGUGUUUUCAUGUAAAUGUAUGUUUUAUGCAGUCCAUCAUGGCUAAGAUAAGUGUGAAACUAUUUACUAAAAGCUUGCAUUCCUCAAUGACAAUUACAUUAUAUACUAGUAACUAAAUUCUUCCAAAAAAUUUAAGAACGAUUCCUAAUAAUUUUGGGAAAUACUCCUCCCUCUCGACUUUAUAGCAUGCAAAGACUAAAACAAAGUCUUAUAUGCUUACUCUGUAAAAGCAAGAGAGAGCUGAAAUAGUUUUCAUUGUACCACACUUCAUUAUCAAUAUCUUCGGAUCUACUCUUCAACAUUUUUGGCCUUCAGCAUGACUUAUGUAAAUUUAUAACUCAAUUUUUGUUUAUUAACUAUAAGAUCAUUGCAUGAGGCGAAUUUCAUUUUGAUGUUUUAAAUAUAUAUCCUCUACUAUGAAAGCAUGAAUUUGUGGCCUUUGGAUGUUGUCUGCUCCAUGAGCGGAUUGUUGUCUUUUAGACAUAUACCCCAUUUCAAUUCCCAAUUUAAUUUGUAGACACAUCUAUCCUGGCUAUCCUCUUAUGUCUUUUAGUGUCAACUAGAAUGAAAGUAUUUUACUAUUGCCUUCAAAGUGGACACUCACAAUUAUAAUUCAUCAAAUAAAGAUAUGUCCAUAGAUAGUCAUAAGAGGAUCAUAAGACAUGUCCUAAGAUAUAUCUUAUGACCUGUGGGUCUUAGGAAUGCUUCAUAAUACCUACCCCUGGACAUGAACUGUAUCAAAAAAGGACAAAACAC